This is a long non-coding RNA of Nicotiana attenuata, 1471 nucleotides long. RefSeq lists it as uncharacterized. Lineage: Eukaryota; Viridiplantae; Streptophyta; Magnoliopsida; Solanales; Solanaceae. The record is from RefSeq and is a predicted model, not a curated record. The transcript has 2 exons.
CAUGUACUGUAGUCCACCAUUGCCUUAAAACUCCUUUUCAACUUUUACACAAGCAAUCAUAUCUAGGUUAAAAUUCAGAAAUACCAUAGUCUAUUCUAUAUAGCAAUAAAAAGUUUGCCAAUAACAAUAGCAAAUUCACUUGAGCUAGCAUUUUGCUGAAACACCAGCUAACUAAUAGUAUUACAAAAACCCUUUAAAGAUACAAUUUUUACCCAUUAAUUGAGCUUAACAUGUUCAAACAAGAAUUGUACAGUCAACAAAGGUCAACCAACUUUAACAUUUACUCAGAAUUAAGACAUAACCAAAGAACCACAUAAUACAUGAAAACUACACACCGGAUUAUAGAACCCACCUUUAUAUUACUAUGAAGCUUUAUCUUUUAUAGCAAAACCAAAGCUGCUUUUUGAGCUGCUACCACUCAAAUCCUUCCAAAAGCCUAGCAAAAUCCUCAUAACUUUGUCAUUAAAAAAAAGACAGAAUGGCCUAAAUGGCACCUAUACUAGUGUCACUUUAUCGUGCCGAUCCUCCUACUUCACUCUUUUUCAUCCCGACACUUCUAUGCGUUCAAAACUAUUAUCUUAAACCUUUCUGACUGUUGACCUUGCUUAUGUGGUAUAGAUAAAGCUGAGGUGGAUAAAAUGUUCGGUACACUCAGUGCAAAAAACGCAUGAAUUUGUGAUUCUAAUUUUUAGAAGAAAAAAUUGAAAUAAAAAAUAUAUAAAAUAAUAGAAAAGUAAAAAGUAAAACAACACCCAACUUAUCUUCAAACCCACACUUGAAGACCCAUUCUUCUUCAAAACCAGUCAUGUCCAUACGUUGCCGUCGCUUCCUUCCACCACCAUCUUUGCCGCCGUCGCCUCCUUUUCCUCUUCUACCAUCACUUCCAACAUCUUCUCGCAUAUACCUCCAAUUGUCUAUACCAUUUCCCCCCAAAUCAGACCCAUAAAUCACAUAAAAUAAAAUAAAUUUGAAUCAUACCCACUUCUCAAAAAUAAUUCUUGAAUUUUCAAAGGAUAGGGAUCUUAAAAUUGAGAAUUCUGGAUUUGUUGUUGUUUACAAUUGCUGUUGUUGGGCCUGUUGAUCGUAACUGUUUGGGUUUUUAUCCAUGCCGUGGAGGUUGUGUUUCGGUGGUUAAAACUGGGUGGAGAGUUCAAAAUUGUAGAAAAGGAAUGGAGAAUCUGAAAAUGGUAGAAAGUUUGGAACCGGCACAACAUUUGCUAACCAUGUAGUAUAUCGGACGACCCUGAUCAUAUUUGCACUUAGUUGCUUCGUGAUUUCUUAUUUAUUCUUAUCAGUCAUGUCUAUCAUAAACUACCUUUGUUUUUGUUGGAUUGGUGGAAAAUUAGGGUAUGUGGGAAGCUUAUGGACCACUAAGUCGGCACUCAAACCCGGCAUGUCAUCAUAUGACCAAGCAAAUACAUCUCUAUACUCGAACAAAACUUGAAUUAUGGCAUCUCUCGUCUUUUGUUCA